AUGGCAGGGAGGAGCAGCAGUGUGCUUCCGCACGAGGAUCACACCUGCAUCGAGUGGCUGGACACGCAGAUCACGGGGUCGGUGUUGUACGUGAGCGUUGGGAGCCUGGCGUGCAUGGACUCCGGCGAGCUCUCGGAGGUGGCGUGGGGGUUGGCCAACAGCGGCCAGCCGUUCCUAUGGGUCGUCCGGCAGGACCUCGUGCCGGGAUCGGACGGACCAUGUCUACCGGAAGGGUUCGACGAUAUGAUGAAGGGCAGGGGCAGGGUGACCCCAUGGGCCCCGCAGCAAGAGGUGCUGGCCCACCGUGCGGUGGGCGGGUUGUGGACCCACAACGGGUGGAACUCGACGCUCGAGAGUGUAGCCGAGGGUUGCCCGAUGAUCUGCAGGCCUCAGUUCGCGGACCAGAUGAUGAACGCGACAUACGUGGAUGCGGUGUGGGGCGUAGGCUUUGAGCUCGAAGGUGAGCUGGAGAGGAACAAAAUUGCGGAGGUCAUUCUGAAGCUUUUGAAGGGGAGCAAAGGGGAGGAGGCGAUGAGAAAGAGAGCAGGAGAGCUUAAGAGGAAAGUAGCGUCCUGCUUGGAGAGUGGUGGUCUUCCUUGUUGGCCAUUGAGAAAUUGA
RNAcentral lists this ribosomal RNA (618 nucleotides) under Triticum aestivum (bread wheat). RNAcentral's name for it is "partial small subunit ribosomal RNA". The record is from RNAcentral. Lineage: Eukaryota; Viridiplantae; Streptophyta; Magnoliopsida; Poales; Poaceae.